This 690-nucleotide ribosomal RNA is filed under the name Klebsiella cf. planticola B43. RNAcentral describes it as "bacterial SSU rRNA". It matches the Rfam family "Bacterial small subunit ribosomal RNA", at positions 29 to 704 of the family's 1533-position model. Lineage: Bacteria; Pseudomonadati; Pseudomonadota; Gammaproteobacteria; Enterobacterales; Enterobacteriaceae. The record is from RNAcentral.
UUNAGAACNUGNGCGGCAGGCUUAACACAUGCAAGCCGAACGGUAACAGGAAGCAGCUUGCUNNUCUGCUGACGAGUGGCGGACGGGUGAGUAAUGUCUGGGAAACUGCCUGAUGGAGGGGGAUAACUACUGGAAACGGUAGCUAAUACCGCAUAACGUCGCAAGACCAAAGAGGGGGACCUUCGGGCCUCUUGCCAUCAGAUGUGCCCAGAUGGGAUUAGCUAGUAGGUGGGGUAACGGCUCACCUAGGCGACGAUCCCUAGCUGGUCUGAGAGGAUGACCAGCCACACUGGAACUGAGACACGGUCCAGACUCCUACGGGAGGCAGCAGUGGGGAAUAUUGCACAAUGGGCGCAACUGNAUGCAGCCAUGCCGCGUGUAUGAAGAAGGCCUUCGGGUUGUAAAGUACUUUCAGCGGGGAGGAAGGCGAUGCGGUUAAUAACCGCGUCGAUUGACGUUACCCGCAGAAGAAGCACCGGCUAACUCCGUGCCAGCAGCCGCGGUAAUACGGAGGGUGCAAGCGUUAAUCGGAAUUACUGGGCGUAAAGCGCACGCAGGCGGUCUGUCAAGUCGGAUGUGAAAUCCCCGGGGUUCAACCUGGGAAUUGNAUCCGAAACUGGCAGGCUUUAAUCUCGUANAGGGGGGGUANAUUCCAGGUNUAACCGGUGAAAUGCGUANAGANNUUGGAGG